Long non-coding RNA from Pezoporus occidentalis (night parrot), 4346 nucleotides. RefSeq lists it as uncharacterized. NCBI's taxonomy places the organism in Eukaryota, Metazoa, Chordata, Aves, Psittaciformes, Psittacidae. The transcript has 3 exons. The record is from RefSeq and is a predicted model, not a curated record.
UUUAGAAGUCCCAACUGUAGUAAAAUUGCAUAUCACUACCUUAAUGAUGGAGUACAUUGCAAAUUUUGAAUUUCUUAUAUUUAGUCAGGAAUUGCAUUGCAUAUGGUAAACAAGUGAACGUUUCAACUCUUGAAAGAUGAUAAUGUAUGUUCUUUCACUAUAGAUAAGUAUGUAGGCAUGAAUGACAGACUCCUACCAUCAGUAGUUUUCAAAAGAGUCUAUGUAUUAUGCCAUUUAGGAAGUGAUUUUUGGUGGUGAUAGUAAUUCUUGCUACAAGAAAAUCUGGGAACAUUUUAAGACAAAGAAAAAUGCUAAUUUCUUCUGUGUGCCUUGGGAUAAGGUUACAGGUGUUAUGUUAGCCUGUACUGUUAGAAAUCUUCCCUGUGAGGAAUAAUUUCUUCAAUAGACAUUUCAGCAAUUGCUUUUCUAUACACAUUCUAGCUAGGGCUUCAUUCAUCCUUUAUACUUUUUAAUUUUGUUUUUCCUCCUCCAUUUAGGUUUUCACACUACACUCAUCACCACAGACUCUUUCUUCCGAGUCCCUUUGACAGUUCCCAGGCUGCCUGCCAUCUGUGGAUGCAACUCUUUAUGAUCCACCCCUUCAGUUAAAGAGGCUGUGUUUGUAAGACUAACAUAUCCAUAAACAGGCCAAUAUACCUGUGGUUGAAAACUGUGUACAUUACAUUUCUCACUAUCAGUUGGCUACAGAGGUCUUGGGUGCAUGAGGCAGAAAGGGUCCACAGACUGCUGGAUCAAGCCUUUCAACUGAAUUCGGUGUCACCCUAAAAGCAGUACUCAUUGUUGGAGAUUAGUGUCGUUCUCCCUAAUACCCAAAUCUAACAGUGUGUGUCUGUUGGGAUUUCAGACACCAAAUGCUGAUCUGAGCUCUUCCCGGUAACUGAGAACCUGCAAACCACUUUUAUGUACAAGAUAAACUUGUCACCAUCAGUAAAGAUCUCUGUCACGUGUGAGUCUCUUUCCUCUCUGCUUUUUUAAUACCAUGAGAUCCUAGGGAACUCACAAUUUAAAAAGUAGCAUGUAAAAAGAAAAGUAAUUUGCUGAUUGCCUGGCUUCUUGCUGCUGCACUGCCAGAUAAAAUAAAGCACAAGAAGGUGAAAAUGAUCGUUUCAACAGUUUUAAGACUGUUAAGAGGAAAAAAAAACAAAACCAAAACCUCUGAUUCCCUGCCCUAAAUGGAGUCUCAUCUCUUUAUCAGAAAGGAUAAGAGCUUUAGAGUAAGAUGCUGCCAUUCACUCUUAGUCAGCAGUUUUGAAAAGUCAACUUCCUAUUCUUAACCUGGAUUUCAAAGACAUCUGGGUGCUUCAGCUGGUGAAAUGUGUUUGUCAAUCACAUGUCUACAGAUAUCUGGAUAGUUUAAUGAUCAUUUUUCUGGUUAGGGAUGCAGUGUGAGGCUGUGCAUCAGUGCUAAUGUUUAUAGUUGCACUUAAGUGCUGGCUAAGUAAGGAAAGAUGAUGCAUCUCAAAAGUCAUCAUGGGUUAUUUUGCCUUUUGAUAUCCUUGGAUUUAGUAACAAGUAAAUAGAAAUACUUUCUAGUAAAAGAGUCUUUUUAGUAAAAAAAACUUAGUAAAAACUGGAUGCCAUACAUAAACUAACAUCUGAAAUAAGUGAACGUUUUGUUUAUUUAACCACUAAAUUGUGUUAGAUUAAAAGCCAUUCUGAGGAAAAUUGCAUAGUUCUGUUCUGGAGACAUCAACUGAUAAAAAUCAAUGCUUCCCUUUGAAUCUUGUCUCAGUAGUUCAUAGCCUUCAUCCUUAGAAUUUCUGGUUUUAUUUUCCUUGAGCUUUCAGAGAAUCUCUGCAGGUUGGGAUGUCCUAAUUUUCCUUGACUAAUUUUCCUUCCUGAGCAAAGCCCACAGGAAAAUCCUCAGCAAAUGACAGUUCCAGCUCACUAAACACCAAACAGGUCACACUGGGUUGGUAUAGCAGGCUUCUUGUGACAUCUGGGAGUCUUUCAUCCUGGGUCUAGAAGGGUGCACCCCAUUCUGCCCAACUGUACCUAUUUCCUUAUCCCUUUGUUGUCAUCCCUUUAAUGCAAAUGACCUCCGUAGUUAAAACCUAGGAGAUUCUAAUUAGGUGUAGAAAAUGUUCCCUUAGUAAGACUUCUUUUCUUUGUGCCAUUUAUAAUGGAUGUGAUAAUUUGAUAGACGUUUUGUGUUGCUUUUUCUCCAAGAGAAAUUGUCAGUGACUUUGGGUUUAAUUUUUGUUCUUUCCAGUUUUUUCAUUGAGAAUAUGUAUCCUUAAAAAAAUAUCGAGGUUAUAAAUACAAGAAGUGUUCCAUACUGAAAGCAGGGAUCACUGUCCACCAACCAUAUGAACAGAGGCAGAGCAUCCUCGACAUGGUUUUUGUCUAAGUGGUGCACUUGUGUUCUCCUUUCUGGCUAUGUCAUGCAUAGCUAUUUUAUAUGCUACAAACUGACAUGAAGUUUUGGCACUGCCCCCUGAACCGUGACAUCUUGUCAGCUGGAAGCUGUUACAUGGGGAGAACACACAGUUCUUGCAGUAGAGGGUAUUUGCAAUGAUCCCUCCAUGAGAAUGAGCAGCCUGAAUUUCUCCAUGCCAGCUAGUGCCAUAAACAUGGAGAAGCCUAGGAGAUCCGUGAGGAGGGAGCUGGAGUAAGAAACCAGAAUGCAGCAAUUCUACAAGAGCUUGAGUUACAGUCCAUGCAUGACUGCUGCAAAAUGAAAACUUCUUAAAGUAAGUCUUACUUUUUUCACCUUCCCCAAAGAUGAAAUAUGCUUAAAAUUCAGCUCUGCACUAGAUUUGGGUAAGCUGUGUGUGCCUGUUGCUAAAGAGGAAUAUGGCUGAGAAGGGCAAUCUGAUCUUCCAUCAAUACAAAGGUUUGUACGCUGUGUAUUGCUUCAUAAAUAAGGUGAAUUUGGGCAAGCCAAAGUUCAGCUAGCAAAACGUUCAGAAGUUGGAAAACAAAAUUUCCACUGAUUAAGUUAAAAGGAUAACUCACGUAACGUGAGUGUUUUCAUACAGGCAAACAUGAAACACAAAUGGCAGCUGUCUUGUGCAGUGCCAUUAUGAUAAGACACACGCAUUAUGGGAAGCUUUCAUUAUUCUCUAGCCAAACAUUAUAAAAAGCUAGGAAAAUAUAUUGUAACCUAAUGGGAAUGUAUUUCUUAAGUGCUUAAGAAAUUUAUCCUUGCCUUUAUAUAUAACAUGAAUGCAGUGCUUUUUAGAACAACAUACAUUUUGUUUGCAAUUUCAGAUAAUAAUGGUAAGGACCCUUUUUUUUCUCACUUGGAAUUUUAAUAUUACUUCUCCUAGCUAGAGCAAAAGUUCUUUGAGUGACUUAAUUUUUCCAUUUUCAUGCCUUAGUUCAGGAAGACACUAUAAGUAUUUCUCAAUUUUCCAGGAACAUAAUUAUUACUGAAGUCACGGAAACUUCACUGCAGUGGUUUCACAGUUGAGAAACUAGUAGCCACACUCCCUGACUUUACUUGUGAUUAAUGUACAAAUGUACAUUACAUCUGGGAGUCUUCUCUUUUUUAAUUAGUAAAAUGUUCAUACAGGAGGAGUAAACAAGAAACCUACAGAGAAUGCGAACAGCUUGUAUUUCCAGUAGUGUGAAGCUAUGUAUAAAUAGGACAUGAUGCAUCCACUUCCCCAAUGAAACAAAUAUUUGUAAUUGUCAAGAUGGUUGAUGUUGAAAUAAUAAUCAGUUCUUCUUCGGUUCAGUUCCAGGGAAAAGCCAUAAUUACAUACGACAAAUACGCUGGAAUUCACCCUACUGUCUAUAUAAAAUUCCAAAAGUCAUCUCAGCAGGAGAGGCACAUACUAAAGAGUUUAUUUCGGUUUGAAAAGGAAGACAUGGUUCUUUCAGUGUUCACUAUGCAUUUGGCAGUAAGUGACGUGACUUCUGCUGUGGCAUUUUUAGAUAUUUACAUAAUGAUCUGAAGUGCGGUUGAGUGAAAAGAAAGGUAGCCACCCUAAUCUGCUUGCUAAACAGUUCCACCAAGCUUUUCACUGCAGGGUGGUUUUUGUAAGACAUACUAAGUGACAGUUACAUCUCACGAUUUCAUAUCAGAAUACGUAUGCUUGUAUGAAACUUGUUUAUAUUGCAUGUUUGUGCUCUUUCAUUCCAUCAAAUCUUACAUAUUCUGCGUGCCUCCUGAUUUGAAAUUUCCAGCAGACUGCUCAUUUUCAACUCAGAACAGAAACGAGUGCUGGCUGUUCAUGGCCCAGCACUAUCUUUACAUAAAGUGCUUCAUCCACAAAUGAAACGCCGGCUUGGCAGAUCAGAUAAAAAAAAGCAGAGUACAUCCUGCACCCAGAUCUGUUCUGUGGCUAGAAACAGGCAGGUGAAAAACAGAAUUCUGC